UAAACUGGGAUUAGAUACCCCACUAUGCCCAGCCCUAAACUUUGACUUACACCACCCACCCCACGCCAGGGAACUACGAGCAACGCUUAAAACCCAAAGGACUUGACGGUACCCCACAUCCACCUAGAGGAGCCUGUCCUAUAAUUGAUGACCCCCGCUAAACCUUACCACUCUUAGUCUAUCAGCUUGUAUACUUCCGCCUUCAGCUUACCCCGUGAGCGUAAUUCAGUGAGCUUAAUGCCUACUCCGCCGAUACGUCAGGUCAAAGUGCAGCUAAUACAGUGGAAAGAGAUGGGCUACACUCUCUAACCUAGAGGAUACGAAAGACUAUGCUGAAACCAUAUCAAAAGGCGGAUUUAGAAGUAAAAAGGAAAUAAAGAGUCCUUUUUAACCCGGCCCUGGGGUGUGUACACACCGCCCGUCACCCUCA
This 430-nucleotide ribosomal RNA is filed under the name Microkayla iatamasi. Its description in RNAcentral is "partial 12S ribosomal RNA". It matches the Rfam family "Bacterial small subunit ribosomal RNA", at positions 768 to 1405 of the family's 1533-position model. The record is from RNAcentral. Lineage: Eukaryota; Metazoa; Chordata; Amphibia; Anura; Craugastoridae.